Molecule: non-coding RNA, 148 nt
Filed under: Chlorocebus sabaeus (green monkey)
Lineage: Eukaryota; Metazoa; Chordata; Mammalia; Primates; Cercopithecidae
Source: Rfam by way of RNAcentral
GCUGGGCAUGGUGGCGCAUGUCUGUAAUUCCAACUACUUGGGAGGCUGAGGCGGGAGAAUUGCUUGAACCCAGGAGGCGGAGGUUGCAGUGAGCUAAGAUUGUACCACUGCACUCCAGCCUGGGCCACAAAGCAAGAUUCCGUCUCAA